This 1447-nucleotide long non-coding RNA is filed under the name Fragaria vesca (wild strawberry). RNAcentral's name for it is "long non-coding RNA (FVES_LNC004904)". Lineage: Eukaryota; Viridiplantae; Streptophyta; Magnoliopsida; Rosales; Rosaceae. The record is from RNAcentral.
AUAAUAAUUAUCAUCAUCAUCAUCCUCAAAACAACAUCACAAUCAUCAUCAUAAUCAUCUCCAAAAUCAACAUCACAAUCAUCACCAUGAUAAUUAUAACUAUGUGGUCCCAAAGUGGACCUUGGUGAGAUGUUACUCACCUCAAAUCCAGCUGCGUCUUCGCACGCACAACACCAACUUUGUCAAUCACCUAGGUAGCACAAAACAACUUAGUGACCAACAAAACAAGCGAUCCACUUAAUGACCAAUUUUGUCAUUAACAACCAAGUGAUUACCCUUUACGCCAACUAGCUAAAACCUAACCCAAAGAUUUACCAUAACGAGGCAAUCCUCGUAUGAGACCUCCCAAGGUCACCGAAACCCAUGAACAGCCUAUGAUAACCAAAAAUGAUUACCUCUAUAUUCAGAUUCCAUAAACCAACACCGAAAGAAACGACUUCCGGUAAAGCCCCAACAUACUCAAGCAACAUUGAAACCUACAAUCUACAUGCUCACGUACUCGUAACAACUAGCAAAACCUAACAAUUACUCCUAACCACCCAACCUCUGCCGAAGGCGCCGUCACGCGCCGCCACACGCCGGCGGCGAGUGGGCCCCACGCGCCACCCUACCAACCUACGAAUUAGCCCAAGCUCACAACACAAAACUUGUAGGUUGAAGAGAGAGGAGCAUCUUUUAUACCUGAGGGUUCAACUAGUUCGGCCGGAAUCGGCCGGAAAUCACCGGAAACCCACCGGAAAAGUUGGAAUUCACCACCACCACUCCACACCGAGAGUCGAGCUUCAAGACCACCGGAAAACAAACCAGGACGCCAAGGAGCUCCUAUCCCAACCGUUUCCAAGCUGCGUCGCCGCCGUACACGGCCGGAACACCCUCGGGUCAAAGUCGGGUCCGCCACCCUCCACUGCAGUGUUCGAUUCUCUCAAACCAGCUUGAGUCGUCUUCACCCACCUACACAGGGAAGAGCACGCCGAGGAGAGGAAGAGUUUCUGACCGGUGCAGUCGUCUGGGUCGGCCGGAGAUGGCCGGAAAAUCCGGGUCGGGUCAACCGGGUCCGGGUCGGGUCAACUGAAAAACUUUGGCAGUGAGGGUGAGGCGCGGGAGAGAAGGGAAGAGAAAAAGAGGGUUUUCCGGAAAAUGAAAAGAGAACCCUGUCUUUUUCUUAUUUAACACAAAACCUCGGAAAACCACAAACUUCUGCUAACCAUAACUUCUUCAUACGAAGUCCGUUUUACGCGUGCCACAUGUCUACGAACUCGUAUCGCCAUGCUCUACAACUUUUGUGAAGGAUGUUUCCCGAGAAACCCAACCGAUUAAAAAGUCAACUCUUAACCCUUCAAAAUAGAGCAUUUUCACGGAACUAAAAACUCGACUACUUCCAGUCCACUCACUAAACCACAAAUCCAUACAACUCUUACUUAAAUAAUUUCCAAAAUAGUAUUAGAAA